GGAGAGGUGGCCGAGUUGGCUUAAGGCGCUCGCCUGCUAAGCGAGUGGGUGGUUAAAACUGCCUCUCGGGUUCGAAUCCCGACCUCUCCG
This 90-nucleotide transfer RNA is filed under the name Desulfobacterales bacterium. Its description in RNAcentral is "tRNA-Ser". It matches the Rfam family "tRNA". Rfam says of the family: Transfer RNA (tRNA) molecules are approximately 80 nucleotides in length. Their secondary structure includes four short double-helical elements and three loops (D, anti-codon, and T loops). The record is from RNAcentral. Lineage: Bacteria; Pseudomonadati; Thermodesulfobacteriota; Desulfobacteria; Desulfobacterales.